CUAGAGUGAUACAUGAAGUAUUCAGGACACUUCUGAGAAAAGAAGGGGAGAACCAAGAAAAAUCUCUGCUACUAAAGCAUGAAGACUAUGAACAUGAAGGGAGAUGACCUCAUCUGUAAGAGGAAGAGAAUUGGACUAAGAACAUCCAUGUCUUCAAUAGCAAGCAUCUGAGACCACUUCUUCCUGGAUAAGGAAAAACCAUUAUUUUAAACCUUCUCUUUCUUCACUUAUUGUAUGGAAAAUGUUAUUUGAAAUGAAUGGUAAAUAUCAUGUUAAUUCUUCCAUUAUCUUUUAAAAUAAUCAAUGGCAUAAACACUUGAAGCUUCAGUGUGUAUGUGUG
Molecule: long non-coding RNA, 340 nt
Filed under: Homo sapiens (human)
Lineage: Eukaryota; Metazoa; Chordata; Mammalia; Primates; Hominidae
Description: HSALNT0286003
Source: RNAcentral